CCUACGGGUGGCAGCAGUGGGGGAUAUUGCACAAUGGGGGGAACCCUGAUGCAGCGACGCCGCGUGGGUGAAGAAGCGCCUAGGCGCGUAAAGCCCUGUCAGCAGGGAAGAAAAUGACGGUACCUGAAGAAGAAGCCCCGGCUAACUACUUGCCAACAGCCGCGGUAAUACGUAGGGGGCAAGCGUUAUCCGGAUUGAAUGGGUGUAAAGGGGGCGCAGACGGCGAGGCAAGCACGGAGUGGAAGCCCGGGGCCCAACCCAGGUACUGCUCUUGGAACUGCGUGGCGGGAGUGCAGGAGGGGCAGGCGGAAUGCCUGGUGUAGCGGUGAAAUGCGUAGAUAUCAGGAGGAACACCGGUGGCGAAGGCGGCCUGCUGGACUGCAACUGACGUUGAGGCCCGAAAGCGUGGGGAGCAAACAGGAUUAGAUACCCUAGUAGUC
Molecule: ribosomal RNA, 440 nt
Filed under: uncultured bacterium
Lineage: Bacteria
Description: partial 16S ribosomal RNA
Rfam family: Bacterial small subunit ribosomal RNA
Source: RNAcentral